AGUGAGCGCUGGCGGUAGGCCUAACACAUGCAAGUCGAACGGCAGCACAGUAAGAGCUUGCUCUUACGGGUGGCGAGUGGCGGACGGGUGAGGCAUACAUCGGAAUCUACUUUUUCGUGGGGGAUAACGUAGGGAAACUUACGCUAAUACCGCAUACGACCUACGGGUGAAAGCAGGGGAUCUUCGGACCUUGCGCGACUGAAUGAGCCGAUGUCGGAUUAGCUAGUUGGCGGGGUAAGGGCCCACCAAGGCGACGAUCCGUAGCUGGUCUGAGAGGAUGAUCAGCCACACUGGAACUGAGACACGGUCCAGACUCCUACGGGAGGCAGCAGUGGGGAAUAUUGGACAAUGGGCGCAAGCCUGAUCCAGCCAUACCGCGUGGGUGAAGAAGGCCUUCGGGUUGUAAAGCCCUUUUGUUGGGAAAGAAAAGCAGCAGGUUAAUACCCCGCUGUUCUGACGGUACCCAAAGAAUAAGCACCGGCUAACUUCGUG
This 492-nucleotide ribosomal RNA is filed under the name uncultured bacterium. RNAcentral's name for it is "partial 16S ribosomal RNA". It matches the Rfam family "Bacterial small subunit ribosomal RNA", at positions 29 to 507 of the family's 1533-position model. The record is from RNAcentral.